GCUGUUAUGACAUUGAGAUAGUAAUCCAAAUGUUCCUGAUUUGAUCCCAAGCUGAGGCAGUCUUUUUCUUCAGAUUAAAUUCAUAAUUCAAGUAUUAAUUUGUAGAUAGCACUAUUCAUAGUCUAUCCAAUCUUGUGUAGGAUAAAGAAAUCCUGCAAUUGUGUGCAUAUGCAUAGUGGGUCUAAAUUCAUUCCUAUAUUAUCUGGCAUUCAUAUUUCCUCUAGAAAACACAAGUCUGUGCAACAUCUUAACAAAAUUUUAUCUCACCAUCAAGCUACUUCCAUCAUAACUUCCAUAAGUUUUUUCUUGAAUAUUAGAGGGAAAGUAGUAUGUCCCUGUUCUCUCCAGAUCAAAAUAUGCCCAAAAUUACAUUGCAGAGCGAAAUCUGGACUCAUCUGUAAAGAUCUCCAUUGGGUUUCAGUCCAGUUAACAUAAUCUCUUUCCUAUUUCAAAUAUUCCCUCCUCUGAUGAAGGGUAAAGGGAUGCACCGAUUGCUGAUUGUCUGUCAUAUAAAUUAUCAUCGUGAAGUCUUUUAGACUCAGCGAAAGUAGAUACUAGCAUUCUGUAGUUGUAACAAGGGCAAGUCACAGGUAUGGAGCAGUAUUCACAUUCCUUCAAGCAGAUUAUUGAAAUAUCAAUUAUCACUACUUUAGUAACUUUUGGUCUUCCUCCAUUGUAUCUAUUAAAUAUUAUUUGAGAAUUUUGAAACUGGCUUCAGAGCCUGUGAAGCAUAGUACAAUUAAUAUUUAAUCUAUUUUUACUUCAUUCUGAUUUUGGCCUAUCUUUAUCUACUUUCCUUCUAAAUUGCU
This 809-nucleotide long non-coding RNA is filed under the name Androctonus crassicauda. The record is from RNAcentral. Lineage: Eukaryota; Metazoa; Arthropoda; Arachnida; Scorpiones; Buthidae.